Molecule: long non-coding RNA, 406 nt
Filed under: Cavia porcellus (domestic guinea pig)
Lineage: Eukaryota; Metazoa; Chordata; Mammalia; Rodentia; Caviidae
Description: lncRNA (ENSCPOG00000031075.1)
Source: RNAcentral
CUCAGUUCCCUCAUUCAGGACUCAGCCACUGCUGCCCCAGACUGAUGAGGGGGCGCGGGCGGGAGACAGGCAGGGAGGCUGCCUUGACUGGCCGGGCAGGUAGGGACCCUUUCAAGCAGAUGCCCCUCCCAGCAGCCAGCCUGUCCUGCCCUUGGAUUGCAGAAGGUGAAGGUGCCUGGACUAUCGAGCUUGUGAUUAAGAAAAUAGAGAACAGCACUAUAGCUCCCAUCCUGUGAGCUCCAAGAGUGGUCAGAGGUGGAGACGUCUGUGAAACACCCAGUUCCUACCGUUCACCUGACCCUUCGCUAAUGCUGCGGAGCAUUUUGCCUGACUCUUUGGGUAAGGACUCAGAGGAGAUGGGCCAAACAGGUCCCACUGUUGGGGAGAAGAUUCCAAGCUAGGUCUC